GCAGAGGCAGAGGCAAAGACAAAGGCAAAAAGAAUGAGGUGGAACCAGUAAAUGAGAAUGAGGAGUAAGCAGAAAGGACCCCACCACUUCAUUCACUUAAAUCUAAAGCAAGAAUUGGCCACUGGACCAGCUAUCCUUCUCCCUGCUAAUCAAAGACAACAAAUUGCAUCGUGAAACAACCAGAGUUGCCGUGGUGAUGGUGAUCAUCAGUUGCUCAUGAAUGGUUUUUGUUCCGUCUUGUCUGCUGGGUUGAGGAAAGCUUCAAAACAAUAAAAAUUAGCAAGCAUCCAA
Long non-coding RNA from Podarcis raffonei (Aeolian wall lizard), 291 nucleotides. RefSeq lists it as uncharacterized. The record is from RefSeq and is a predicted model, not a curated record. The transcript has 3 exons. NCBI's taxonomy places the organism in Eukaryota, Metazoa, Chordata, Lepidosauria, Squamata, Lacertidae.